RNAcentral lists this ribosomal RNA (561 nucleotides) under Labeo fimbriatus (fringed-lipped peninsula carp). Its description in RNAcentral is "partial 16S ribosomal RNA". It matches the Rfam family "Bacterial large subunit ribosomal RNA", at positions 1901 to 2612 of the family's 2925-position model. Lineage: Eukaryota; Metazoa; Chordata; Actinopteri; Cypriniformes; Cyprinidae. The record is from RNAcentral.
CCAGCCUGCCAGUGACUACAAGUUCAACGGCCGCGGUAUUUUGACCGUGCAAAGGUAGCGCAAUCACUUGUCUUUUAAAUAGAGACCUGUAUGAAUGGCUAAACGAGGGCUUAACUGUCUCCCCUUUCCAGUCAGUGAAAUUGAUCUGCCCGUGCAGAAGCGGACAUAAAAAUACAAGACGAGAAGACCCUUUGGAGCUUAAGGUACAAAACUCAACCACGUCAAGCAACUUAAUAAAAAGCAAAAACUUUGUGGAACAUGAGAUUUUACCUUCGGUUGGGGCGACCACGGAGGAAAACAAAGCCUCCAAGUGGAUUGGGAAAACCUCCUAAAACCAAGAGAGACAUCUCUAAGCCACAGAACAUCUGACCAAACAUGAUCCGGCUGCCCGAAGCCGAUCAACGAACCAAGUUACCCUAGGGAUAACAGCGCAAUCCUCUCCCAGAGUCCAUAUCGACGAGGGGGUUUACGACCUCGAUGUUGGAUCAGGACAUCCUAAUGGUGCAGCCGCUAUUAAGGGUUCGUUUGUUCAACGAUUAAAGUCCUACGUGAUCUGAGUUC